GCCAUCUAAAUUUCCUGGCUGUAAGCAAACCACAAUAUUCAUAAUUCAUUGAGAUUUCACGAUGUAGUACCGCCCCUGUCAAGGUGGAUCCAAUUGAGAAUGGGUAUCAAAAGGUAGCUAGCUAAUGAUACUCCCUGGAUUAGCCAUUCAUCCAUAGAACGUCAGCUUGUAAAUAACUAUUUAUUUUGUAUUUUUGUGUAGAGAACAACUGUAACAUUUUGUCAUGGUGUGGUGCUCAGUACUUAGAUGUGCAAACUACAAGCAACCACAGGCUGUUGGGGUAACAUUUCAUUGGUUACCUUACUAAGAAGUCAAGCAGAGAGUCCAAUUCCAUCAACAUCUAUAGCAGCAUAAACAUCGAGCUAAGCACCAGGACCCUUUGCUAAAUCUUUCCAUGACUCCAUGAUGAGCAAAUAAAUAUACUGGAGGUUAUGAGAAUUACCAUCUGAAGCUGAAGCAAUAUUCCUUGACCCAAGGACUGUACUUGACAUGAUACAAGAUCAACGGUGAAGUGUUCAUUAGUGAAGUCCUUAUCAACCAGUGGAACAGAAGAAGAAUUCCUCACUACCGGCAGACUGUCCAAACAUAAUUUCUAAUAGUUAUCUAUGUGGGACUGAUACUAGUGUGGAAGAGCUGGUCACUUUUAAAAUACUUGCUAAUUGGACAAUUUAAUAUUAUUGUCUUCCUGCUUAUACAUGAUGCGGUAGGAAUCGUAAGCGACAUCAUCAUUACACAUGUCAAUACUUAUUUUAUAUAACUUUGUUUGAAAUCUAUUUCUUAUUGUAAAGCAAGUAGAAUAUGCCCUUUGUGUUUUAUAGAAAUGCAAGGUGUUUAAUGUGAAUGAUUUUAUGCUUACUGCUAAUGUUUUUUAUACUUUCUAUUUUUUCAUGUUUUCUAUUGUUUUCUAAAAAUACAUUUAAAGUAUAUUUAUUUUUAAAAUGGUCUAGGGGGGAGUGUAAGAAUAUUUAGAAGAUAAAUACACAAUGCAGAGGACGAGAGGUCAAUAGAGUACUAACGGUCAAGAGGACUAAAAGCCAAUAGAGUACUUACGGUCAAGAGGACUAAAAGCCAAUAGAGUACUAACGGUCAAGAGGACUAAAAGCCAAUAGAGUACUUACGGUCAAGAGGACUAAAAGCCAAAAGAGUACUAACGGUCAAGAGGACUAAAAGCCAAUCGAGUACUAACGGUCAAGAGGACUAAAAGCCAAUAGAGUACUAACGGUCAAGAGGACUAAAAGCCAAUAGAGUACUUACGGUCAAGAGGACUAAAAGCCAAAAGAGUACUAACGGUCAAGAGGACUAAAAGCCAAUCGAGUACUAACGGUCAAGAGGACUAAAAGCCAAUAGAGUACUAACGGUCAAGAGGACUAAAAGCCAAUAGAGUACUUACGGUCAAGAGGACUAAAAGCCAAUAGAGUACUAACGAUCAAUGGAAAUUGUGUUUUUUUCUGUAGUAGGGCAUUAAUGAUCAAUGGGUGUCACGAGAAUUUUCAAUCCCAAUGAUAAUAACAAUCAAUCAAUAGCUUUGACAAAAUCCCUGAGGUUUAUAAAACCAUGGGUUUAAUAAUAAUUAGUCAAAGACUCAGCUUAUGCAAAAGGUCAGUACAGUUUAUUCACGAGAACGUUCUAAACUAAAUAAUAGAAAAACAUCCAUUUUAUUGCUGCGCACAUACUUCCACACACAAACAGUAGGUAUCCUACGCACAUACUGUAUCACUACCCAGCCGACAAAGAUUAGGGAGACCUUGAGACGUACUCCCUGUCCUCUCCCAAAUCUCUAGUCAGGUCGGUACCGAAUUUUGCUCAGACAGUCUGUGUUUAAGAUACGAUAAAGACAUAUUGUACAUAUACAUUGUUUUACCCUAAUUCUGACUAAAACUACACUCACAGAUAUAUAAUUUUACUGACUAAAACUACACACAUAAUUAGUGUCACGU
Molecule: long non-coding RNA, 1937 nt
Organism: Oncorhynchus tshawytscha (Chinook salmon)
Lineage: Eukaryota; Metazoa; Chordata; Actinopteri; Salmoniformes; Salmonidae
Exons: 3
Source: RefSeq, a predicted model, not a curated record